RNAcentral lists this transfer-messenger RNA (365 nucleotides) under Mycoplasmopsis citelli. RNAcentral's name for it is "Mycoplasma citelli transfer-messenger RNA". It matches the Rfam family "transfer-messenger RNA". From Rfam's summary of the family: Bacterial tmRNA, also known as 10Sa RNA or SsrA, is named for its dual tRNA and mRNA-like properties. Its role is to liberate the mRNA from a stalled ribosome. To accomplish this part of the tmRNA is used as a reading frame that ends in a translation stop signal. RNAcentral also lists the same sequence under 1 other name. Lineage: Bacteria; Bacillati; Mycoplasmatota; Mycoplasmoidales; Metamycoplasmataceae. The record is from Rfam by way of RNAcentral.
GGGGAUGUAAUGGUUUCGACACGUGUGGGUGUUUGUAUGUUGCAGUGGUGUGGUUCACCUUAAAAACUACUAGGUUUCAAUAAACGGAAAAUCUAAACAAGUUUCACCAUCAAUGAUGGUACAAAAUCAAACCUUUGCUUACGCAUUUUAAUUAGCGUCAAAGUCAUCAACCAAAACUCCUUUAUUGGAUUGGUGGGUCUAAAGGAUAGUGGAUAAAGUGACGUUUUAUUCAUGAAAACUUGUCAAAGUUAUAAAUUAGCUUUUGUUAAUUUAGAGAUUUAAUAACUUAAUUAAAAUUAACUAAACUGUAGAAGCAUACCUGCAUUUGCAUGUGGACACGGGUUCGACUCCCGUCAUCUCCACCA